Molecule: ribosomal RNA, 746 nt
Filed under: uncultured Methanoculleus sp.
Lineage: Archaea; Methanobacteriati; Methanobacteriota; Methanomicrobia; Methanomicrobiales; Methanomicrobiaceae
Description: bacterial SSU rRNA
Rfam family: Archaeal small subunit ribosomal RNA
Source: RNAcentral
UACGGCUCAGUAACACGUGGAUAACCUGCCCUAAGGAAGGGGAUACCCUCGGGAAACUGAGGAUAAUACCCUAUAGGUUACCGAUGCUGGAAUGCUCGGUAACUCAAAGUUCCGGCGCCUUAGGAUGGAUCUGCGGCCGAUUAGGUAGUUGUUGGGGUAACGGCCCAACAAGCCCGUAAUCGGUACGGGUUGUGGGAGCAAGAGCCCGGAGUUGGAUUCUGAGACACGAAUCCAGGCCCUACGGGGCGCAGCAGGCGCGAAAACUUUACAAUGCGGGCAACCGUGAUAAGGGAACCUCGAGUGCCUGUACAUGCAGGCUGUCUGGGUGUCUAAAACACACCCAAAGAAAGGGCCGGGCAAGACCGGUGCCAGCCGCCGCGGUAAUACCGGCGGCUCGAGUGGUGGCCACUUUUAUUGGGCUUAAAGCGUUCGUAGCUGGGUUGUUAAGUCUCUUGGGAAAUCCGGCGGCUUAACCGUCGGGCGUCUAAGAGAUACUGGCAAUCUUGGAACCGGGAGAGGUGAGGGGUACUUCGGGGGUAGGAGUGAAAUCCUGUAAUCCUCGAGGGACCACCUGUGGCGAAGGCGCCUCACCAGAACGGCUUCGACAGUGAGGGACGAAAGCUGGGGGAGCAAACCGGAUUAGAUACCCGGGUAGUCCCAGCCGUAAACGAUGUGCGUUAGGUGUAUSGACGACCACGAGUCGUCGAGGUGCCGAAGGGAAACCGUGAAACGUACCGCCUKGGAAG